CAGUCGCCCGGGAAUACGGAGGGUGCAAGCGUUAAUCGGAAUUACUGGGCGUAAAGCGCACGCAGGCGGUCUGUCAAGUCAGAUGUGAAAUCCCCGGGCUUAACCUGGGAACUGCAUUUGAAACUGGCAGGCUAGAGUCUUGUAGAGGGGGGUAGAAUUCCAGGUGUAGCGGUGAAAUGCGUAGAGAUCUGGAGGAAUACCGGUGGCGAAGGCGGCCCCCUGGACAAAGACUGACGCUCAGGUGCGAAAGCGUGGGGAGCAAACAGGAUUAGAUACCCCAGUAGUCCCUGUCUCUUAUACA
This 301-nucleotide ribosomal RNA is filed under the name uncultured bacterium. RNAcentral's name for it is "partial 16S ribosomal RNA". It matches the Rfam family "Bacterial small subunit ribosomal RNA", at positions 509 to 808 of the family's 1533-position model. The record is from RNAcentral.